GACGAACCGUGCGAACGUUGUUCGGAAUCACUGGGCUUAAAGGGCGCGUAGGCGGGCUGCCAAGUCCGGGGUGAAAUCCCCCCGCUCAACGGGGGAAUGGCCUUGGAUACUGGCGGCCUGGAGGAAGGUAGGGGCAGAUGGAACUCUCGGUGGAGCGGUGAAAUGCGUAGAUAUCGGGAGGAACGCCGGUGGCGAAAGCGAUCUGCUGGACCUUUUCUGACGCUGAGGCGCGAAAGCCAGGGGAGCAAACGGG
RNAcentral lists this ribosomal RNA (253 nucleotides) under uncultured bacterium. RNAcentral's name for it is "partial 16S ribosomal RNA". It matches the Rfam family "Bacterial small subunit ribosomal RNA", at positions 524 to 776 of the family's 1533-position model. The record is from RNAcentral.